RNA transcript from Grammomys surdaster, 3234 nucleotides. It is a transcript of the gene named protocadherin alpha-8 pseudogene, with no coding region annotated. Lineage: Eukaryota; Metazoa; Chordata; Mammalia; Rodentia; Muridae. The record is from RefSeq and is a predicted model, not a curated record. The transcript has 2 exons.
AUGGUGUUUUCUCGGCGAGGAGGUCCGGAUUCCCGGAGUCUGCUGCUCUCGCUUCUGCUGUUCUCAAUCUGGGAAGCUGGGAGCGGCCAGCUCCACUACUCCGUCCCCGAGGAGGCCAAACACGGCACCUUCGUGGGCCGCAUCGCGCAGGACCUGGGGCUGGAGCUGGUAGAGCUGGUGCCCCGCCUGUUCAGGGUGGCGUCCAAGGACCGCGGGGACCUUCUGGAGGUAAAUCUGCAGAAUGGCAUUUUGUUUGUGAAUUCUCGGAUCGACCGGGAGGAGCUGUGCGGGCGGAGAGCAGAGUGCAGCAUCCACCUGGAGGUGAUCGUGGACAGGCCGCUGCAGGUUUUCCACGUGGAGGUGGAGGUGAGGGACAUUAAUGACAAUCCGCCCGUGUUCCCGGUAAAAGAACAACAGCUGCAUAUUUCAGAAUCCAGAAUGCUAGACUCCAGGUUUCUGCUAGAGGGCGCAUUCGAUGCAGACAUUGGAGCCAAUUCAGUUGUAACGUAUAGGCUUGACUCUAAUGAUUACUUCACACUAAUCGUGAGUUCAAAGAACGAAGAAAGUAAACAGAUUGAGCUAGCUUUAAGAAAAUCGUUGGACAGAGAGGAUGCUCCUGAGCAUAAGCUACUGCUGACAGCCACGGAUGGGGGCAAACCUGAGCUCACAGGCUCUGUUCAGCUGCUGAUCACUGUGCUGGAUGUGAAUGAUAACGCCCCUACUUUCCAACACCCUGAGUAUGAAGUGAGAAUCUUGGAAAACUCAGACAACGGAACGACAGUUAUUAGACUAAAUGCUUCUGACAGGGAUGAAGGGACGAAUUCUGCCAUUUCUUACUCUUUUAAUAGGCUGGUGUCGCCCAGGAUUCUUGACCAGUUUAGCAUAGAUGCAGAUUCAGGAGAAAUCAUAAUUCAAGGGAAUUUGGACUUUGAGCAAGUAGAUGUUUACAAAAUCCGCGUUGACGCGACGGACAAAGGACACCCUCCGAUGGCGGGCCAUUGCACCGUUUUAGUGAAGGUAUUGGAUGAAAAUGACAAUGUGCCUCAGAUCACAUUGACUUCCUUAUCCCUGCCUGUUCGAGAGGACGCUGCCCUGGGUACUGUCAUUGCUCUAAUUAGCGUUUCGGAUCUGGACUCUGGAGUCAACGGGCAGGUGACCUGCUCCCUGACUCCUCAUGUCCCCUUCAAGUUAGUGUCCACCUUCAAGAAUUACUAUUCGCUUGUGCUGGACAGCGUCCUGGACCGUGAGACCACAGCUGACUAUCAGGUGGUGGUGACAGCGCGGGACGGGGGCUCUCCUUCUUUGUGGACCACAGCCAGCGUGUCCGUGGAGGUGGCUGACGUGAACGACAACUCUCCUGCGUUCGCGCAGCCCGAAUACACGGUGUUUGUGAAGGAGAACAACCCGCCUGGCGCGCACAUCUUCACGGUGUCAGCGGUGGAUGCGGACGCGCAGGAGAAUGCGCUGGUGUCCUACUCAUUAGUGGAGCGGAGGGUGGGUGAGCGCUUGCUGUCGAGCUAUGUGUCUGUGCACGCGGAGAGCGGCAAGGUGUUCGCACUGCAGCCUCUGGACCAUGAGGAGCUGGAGCUGCUGCAGUUCCAGGUGAGCGCGCGGGAUGCUGGUGUGCCUGCCCUGGGCAGCAAUGUGACUCUUCAGGUGUUUGUACUGGAUGAGAAUGAUAAUGCUCCUUCCAUUCUUUUGGCUGGUACUGAAGGCUUGGGUAGUGUGGCAACUGAUCUGAUACACAGGUCUGUGAGCGUGGGUCAGGUGGUCGCAAAAGUGCGGGCGGUGGACUCAGAUUCUGGCUACAACGCAUGGUUGUCCUAUGAACUGGAACCCUCAGUUGGCCUUCGCAGCCCAUUUCGUGUUGGGCUGUACACGGGUGAGAUCAGUACAACACGCGUUCUUGAUGAGUCCGAUUCACCCAGACAGCGCCUGUUGGUGUUGGUGAAAGACCAUGGUGAGCCAGCGCUGACUUCCACAGCCACUAUUCUCAUGUCCCUGAUUGAGAGUAGUCAGGCACCAAAGGCUUCUUCUCAGGCUUCUAGUCAUGCUUCAGUACCAGAGGCAUCGCUGGUAGAUGUCAACGUGUACCUGAUCAUUGCCAUUUGCGCGGUGUCCAGCCUGUUGGUGCUCACCCUGCUGCUGUACACAGCGCUGCGCUGCUCGGCGACGCCCACCAAUGGAGCCUGUGCUCCAGGGAAGCCCAUGCUGGUGUGCUCCAGCGCGGUGGGGAGCUGGUCUUACUCACAACAAAGGCGGCAAAGGGUGUGCUCUGGAGAGGGUCCACCUAAGACUGACCUCAUGGCUUUUAGUCCUAGUCUUCCACCGCGUCCAGUAUCAGAGGUCAUUGGGGAAGGGCAAGAUUUAAAUGUCGAUCAUGGCUUUCAAGUAAGUCCUUUUAUAUUAAUUUGGGAGGUGGGGAGCAGACAGCUCCACUAUUCAAUCCUCGAAGAGGCCAAACACGGCACCUUCGUGGGUCGCAUCGCACAGGAUCUUGGGCUGGAGCUGCCGGAGCUAGUUCCUGGUCUUUUUCAGUUGGAUUUAAAGGGCUUUGGGGACCUUCUGGAGGUAAAUCUGCAGAAUGGCAUUUUGUUUGUGAAUUCUCGGAUCGACCGGGAGGAGCUGUGCGGGAGGAGCGCGGAGUGUAGCAUCCACCUGGAGGUGAUCGUGGACAGGCCGCUGCAGGUUUUUCACGUCGAGGUGGAGGUAAGAGACAUUAAUGACAACCCUCCCAUGUUUGCAGCGACACAAAAGACUCUGUUUAUUCCCGAGUCCAGACUGCUUGACUCGCGGUUUCCACUAGAGGGCGCGUCAGAUGCAGAUGUCGGUUCCAAUGCUCUGCUGACUUACAGACUGAGCACCAAUGAACAUUUCUCUCUGGAUGUACCGGCCAACCACGAGCAGGUGAAACCUCUUGGUCUCGUUUUGCGGAAACCUUUGGACAGAGAAGAAGCCGCAGAGAUGCGCUUAUUGCUCACGGCCAUCGACGGAGGCAAACCGGAGCUGACCGGCACCAUUCAGUUACUCAUCACAGUGCUGGAUGUCAAUGACAAUGCUCCAGUUUUUGACAGAUCUCUCUAUACCGUGAAAUUGCCAGAAAACGUUCCAAAUGGAACAUUGGUAAUCAAAGUCAAUGCCUCAGAUUUUGACGAAGGCGUGAAUGGGGACGUCGUGUACUCGUUUUCUAGUGAUGUUUCUUCAGAUAUAAAAUCCAAGUUUCACAUGGAUGCU